Mustela lutreola (European mink) is the source of this 716-nucleotide long non-coding RNA. RefSeq lists it as uncharacterized. NCBI's taxonomy places the organism in Eukaryota, Metazoa, Chordata, Mammalia, Carnivora, Mustelidae. The transcript has 2 exons. The record is from RefSeq and is a predicted model, not a curated record.
CGCCGGGCUUCUCCACUCAAGAGUUUACACAGCUGGGGAAACGAAAGUGGAUUCCAAGCCACUCGGGCCGGUCCACCUCGCUUCCUUCUGUGGGUCAGCGGGACACCAGCAUGCAGCCCAGGAGCUCUGGUGCGGGACGGUCAAGGCCCCAGGGGAGUUCAGAGACCUAUCAGCCGUGCAGUCCUCCCAAGGCCAGCAGUCCCUGAGAAGAGGCCAGUUUCAAAUGACGCCAGGGACGGCAUCCUUGGUGCUCACCAGAAACCGACUCAUCCCUUGUUCCCCGCUGUGGCCACUCUCUGACGGCCUUCCCGACCUCAGCUCCUUCCUUUGCCCUGGACCACAAUCUCCAGCCAUGCUGGCCUCGCUCUCCCCUACGUACUCGGACCCUUUCUCACCUUAGAGCCUUUGUUCUUGCCAGUCCUGCUGCCUGCAGUGCCCUCCCCUGCUUUCCCGACCACCUGCCCCUCCUCUCCUCCACGCCUCAGUCUCGCCCCUUCCAAGGUCUUUCCUGGUACCCGAUCUAAAGUCGCUAACCCACAGGGUGCCUGGGUGGCUCAGUGGGUUAAGCCUCUGCCUUCGGCUCAGGUCAUGAUCCCAGAGUCCCAGGAUCGAGCCCCACAUCGGGCUCUCCCCUCAGCAGAGCCUGCUUCCUCUCUCUCCCCACUUGUAAUCUCUAUCUGUCAAAUAAAUAAAUAAAAUCUUUAAAAAAAAAUAAA